GUUAAUGUUUUCUAGGGUUCCGUAUUCAGUUGAAUAGUCUGGUCCGAGAGAAAACCCAUGUGAAACGCUCUUCACAUGACACGGAAGGACAAAAGCCUGGGAGAU
This 105-nucleotide small RNA is filed under the name Staphylococcus chromogenes. RNAcentral's name for it is "Guanidine-I sequence". It matches the Rfam family "Guanidine-I riboswitch aptamer". From Rfam's summary of the family: This family represents a conserved RNA structure found upstream of the ykkC and yxkD genes in Bacillus subtilis and related genes in other bacteria. The function of this family is unclear although it has been suggested that it may function to switch on efflux pumps and detoxification systems in response to harmful environmental molecules. Nelson showed that this riboswitch senses and responds to guanidine and it was renamed Guanidine-I riboswitch. Lineage: Bacteria; Bacillati; Bacillota; Bacilli; Caryophanales; Staphylococcaceae. The record is from RNAcentral.